Long non-coding RNA from Ornithorhynchus anatinus (platypus), 355 nucleotides. RefSeq lists it as uncharacterized. Lineage: Eukaryota; Metazoa; Chordata; Mammalia; Monotremata; Ornithorhynchidae. The transcript is spliced from 4 exons. The record is from RefSeq and is a predicted model, not a curated record.
UCUACUCCCAGACUACUUCUUUGGCAUACAGUUUCCUGUUUCUAUGGCAAUGGACAGACUUCUCUGCACUGAAAAACAUUGAAUUUGCUAUUGGGGGAAGUCGUUUUUCUUCAUCCUGGUCAUGCGGUAAAAGAUAGCGCUGUAGCCAACUGUUUCACCAGAUGUUCGGAAAAUAGAAACAAGGCCUCUCCACAUCCCCUGCCAGAAGAAGCUUAAUUAAAAUAACAAGGACUCUAAAGCAAAGUGAAGCAAUCACAGGCAGAAUCAAGUUAACUUUUUUAAGUGCUCCAAGCACUACCUGUCAAUGUUACUCAACUCCGAGAAGUCUGCUUCAACUUAAAUUUAUGGUUCAGAC